This 238-nucleotide ribosomal RNA is filed under the name uncultured bacterium. RNAcentral's name for it is "partial 16S ribosomal RNA". It matches the Rfam family "Bacterial small subunit ribosomal RNA", at positions 96 to 334 of the family's 1533-position model. The record is from RNAcentral.
CGGCGGACGGGUGAGUAACGCGUGGGUAACCUGCCUCAUACAGGGGGAUAACAGUUAGAAAUGGCUGCUAAUACCGCAUAAGACCACAGUACUGCAUGGUACAGUGGUAAAAACUCCGGUGGUAUGAGAUGGACCCGCGUCUGAUUAGGUAGUUGGUGAGGUAACGGCCUACCAAGCCGACGAUCAGUAGCCGACCUGAGAGGGUGACCGGCCACAUUGGGACUGAGACACGGCCCAA